CCUACGGGAGGCAGCAGUAGGGAAUCUUCCACAAUGGGCGAAAGCCUGAUGGAGCAACGCCGCGUGGGUGAAGAAGGUCUUCGGAUCGUAAAACUCUGUUGUUAGAGAAGAACGUGCGUGAGAGUAACUGUUCACGUUUCGACGGUAUCUAACCAGAAAGCCACGGCUAACUACGUGCCAGCAGCCGCGGUAAUACGUAGGUGGCAAGCGUUAUCCGGAUUUAUUGGGCGUAAAGGGAACGCAGGCGGUCUUUUAAGUCUGAUGUGAAAGCCUUCGGCUUAACCGGAGUAGUGCAUUGGAAACUGGGAGACUUGAGUGCAGAAGAGGAGAGUGGAACUCCAUGUGUAGCGGUGAAAUGCGUAGAUAGAUGGAAGAACACCAGUGGCGAAGGCGGCUCUCUGGUCUGUAACUGACGCUGAGGUUCGAAAGCGUGGGUAGCAAACAGGAUUAGAUACCCUGGUAGUC
Molecule: ribosomal RNA, 465 nt
Filed under: uncultured bacterium
Lineage: Bacteria
Description: partial 16S ribosomal RNA
Rfam family: Bacterial small subunit ribosomal RNA
Source: RNAcentral